Molecule: ribosomal RNA, 608 nt
Filed under: uncultured bacterium
Lineage: Bacteria
Description: bacterial SSU rRNA
Rfam family: Bacterial small subunit ribosomal RNA
Source: RNAcentral
GCGGGAGGCUAAUACAUGCAAGUCGAACGGUAACAGGGUAGCAAUACCGCUGACGAGUGGCGCACGGGUGAGUAACACGUACACAAUCUGCCUUAUACUGGAGCAUAGCCUUGGGAAACUAAGAUUAACUCUCCAUAACAUAGUGAAGCGGCAUCGCUUUAUUAUUAAAUCUCCGGAGGUAUAAGAUGAGUGUGCGUCUGAUUAGCUAGUUGGUGAGGUAACGGCUCACCAAGGCAACGAUCAGUAGCUGGUCUGAGAGGAUGAUCAGCCACACGGGCACUGAGACACGGGCCCGACUCCUACGGGAGGCAGCAGUAGGGAAUAUUGGACAAUGGGCGCAAGCCUGAUCCAGCCAUCCCGCGUGAAGGAUUAAGGCCCUAUGGGUUGUAAACUUCUUUUCUCUGGGAAUAAAAAGUGGGAUUUAUCCUGCCUUGAAGGUACCAGAGGAAUAAGCACCGGCUAACUCCGUGCCAGCAGCCGCGGUAAUACGGAGGGUGCAAGCGUUAUCCGGAUUCACUGGGUUUAAAGGGUGCGUAGGUGGCUUUGUAAGUCAGUGGUGAAAGCCCGGAGCUCAACUCCGGAACUGCCAUUGAUACUGCUUAGCUUGA